GGGGGGACCCCCGCCUGACCCAGCCUGGCCUGCCCUCGGUAGCACACGGGCUGCCUGGAACUGCAGAUGGAGGGAGACCCGGGGUGACACCUGCUGGGCCAC
Ochotona curzoniae (black-lipped pika) is the source of this 102-nucleotide long non-coding RNA. RefSeq lists it as uncharacterized. The record is from RefSeq and is a predicted model, not a curated record. The transcript has 3 exons. NCBI's taxonomy places the organism in Eukaryota, Metazoa, Chordata, Mammalia, Lagomorpha, Ochotonidae.